Molecule: ribosomal RNA, 593 nt
Filed under: uncultured bacterium
Lineage: Bacteria
Description: bacterial SSU rRNA
Rfam family: Bacterial small subunit ribosomal RNA
Source: RNAcentral
GGCAGCAGUGGGGAAUUUUGGACAAUGGGGGCAACCCUGAUCCAGCCAUGCCGCGUGAGUGAAGAAGGCCUUCGGGUUGUAAAGCUCUUUCAGCCGGGAAGAAAUCGCAUGGGCUAAUACCCCGUGUGGAUGACGGUACUGGAAUAAGAAGCACCGGCUAACUACGUGCCAGCAGCCGCGGUAAUACGUAGGGUGCGAGCGUUAAUCGGAAUUACUGGGCGUAAAGCGUGCGCAGGCGGUUUUUUAAGACAGGCGUGAAAUCCCCGGGCUUAACCUGGGAACUGCGCUUGUGACUGCUAAGGCUAGAGUACGGCAGAGGGGGGUGGAAUUCCACGUGUAGCAGUGAAAUGCGUAGAGAUGUGGAGGAACACCGAUGGCGAAGGCAGCCCCCUGGGUCGAUACUGACGCUCAUGCACGAAAGCGUGGGUAGCAAACAGGAUUAGAUACCCUGGUAGUCCACGCCCUAAACGAUGUCAACUAGGUGUUGGGUGGGUAAAACCAUUUAGUACCGGAGCUAACGCGUGAAGUUGACCGCCUGGGGAGUACGGCCGCAAGGUUAAAACUCAAAGGAAUUGACGGCACUGCUGCCUCCC